This 253-nucleotide ribosomal RNA is filed under the name uncultured bacterium. RNAcentral's name for it is "partial 16S ribosomal RNA". It matches the Rfam family "Bacterial small subunit ribosomal RNA", at positions 524 to 776 of the family's 1533-position model. The record is from RNAcentral.
UACGUAGGGUGCGAGCGUUGUCCGGAAUUAUUGGGCGUAAAGAGCUUGUAGGCGGUUUGUCGCGUCUGCCGUGAAAAUCCGGGGCUCAACCCCGGACUUGCAGUGGGUACGGGCAGACUAGAGUGUGGUAGGGGAGACUGGAAUUCCUGGUGUAGCGGUGAAAUGCGCAGAUAUCAGGAGGAACACCGAUGGCGAAGGCGGGUCUCUGGGCCACUACUGACGCUGAGAAGCGAAAGCAUGGGGAGCGAACAGG